UUCUUUCGAUUUUCAAGGGGGAUUUCGUUUUGCCCAAGCAAGGGAAAAAGAAGCGAGAGCCGCCUCGAGUCGCGUGACCCGAGCCGAGCUAACUCGCCGCUCGACUCGCUAUUUAAAUCGCCCCUCCUCACUCGCUCGUCUCAGGAACACCCUAAGUCACUGUCUUUCUCUGUCCUCUGCUUCUCGUCUUCUCUCUCGUCAUUUCCAAUCCCUCGUCGCGCGGCGCUUGAUCAUGGGGAGGGUUAAGAACGGAAACAACGGUUUGGGAAGGAUCGUUCGCUUGGUCGCGAGGGUCGUUCUCCAGAGGGACGAAAUGCGAUGU
Molecule: long non-coding RNA, 322 nt
Organism: Rhodamnia argentea
Lineage: Eukaryota; Viridiplantae; Streptophyta; Magnoliopsida; Myrtales; Myrtaceae
Exons: 3
Source: RefSeq, a predicted model, not a curated record